This 349-nucleotide ribosomal RNA is filed under the name Shigella flexneri. RNAcentral's name for it is "bacterial SSU rRNA". It matches the Rfam family "Bacterial small subunit ribosomal RNA", at positions 907 to 1256 of the family's 1533-position model. The record is from RNAcentral. Lineage: Bacteria; Pseudomonadati; Pseudomonadota; Gammaproteobacteria; Enterobacterales; Enterobacteriaceae.
GAAUUGACGGGGGCCCGCACAAGCGGUGGAGCAUGUGGUUUAAUUCGAUGCAACGCGAAGAACCUUACCUGGUCUUGACAUCCACGGAAGUUUUCAGAGAUGAGAAUGUGCCUUCGGGAACCGUGAGACAGGUGCUGCAUGGCUGUCGUCAGCUCGUGUUGUGAAAUGUUGGGUUAAGUCCCGCAACGAGCGCAACCCUUAUCCUUUGUUGCCAGCGGUCCGGCCGGGAACUCAAAGGAGACUGCCAGUGAUAAACUGGAGGAAGGUGGGGAUGACGUCAAGUCAUCAUGGCCCUUACGACCAGGGCUACACACGUGCUACAAUGGCGCAUACAAAGAGAAGCGACCUC